RNAcentral lists this small RNA (3232 nucleotides) under Pongo abelii (Sumatran orangutan). RNAcentral's name for it is "retained intron". The record is from RNAcentral. Lineage: Eukaryota; Metazoa; Chordata; Mammalia; Primates; Hominidae.
CAUGCUCUGGGAAAGAUUUCUGCCAUCCUCUGGGGUGGGGUUGCUUGUGGGGGCCACAGCAGGCAGGGUUGGCCUCUCAACAGACGGCCUGCAGGUCUCCUGGCCUCAGUUAAGCCAGGGCCCCAGGGGUCUGACACUGAGUUUUUCAACGUCUGUUCUCUUUUUCUUUCUCUCUGCCUUGCCCCACUUCUGUCCCUCCACCCUGGGAGCACCAACGCCGCUGGGGUUUCUCUCUCGUUUGCUCCGCUUUCCUGCUGCUGCUGCUCCUGUCUCAAGUGUAUCAAGGCCUUCUUCUCAUGACUUUUCUUUCUGUCUUUCAGAUAGUUUCAAACAAAAGCAUACCUCGAAAGCGCCCCAGAGAGGUAGCUCUCUCAACUUUUCAGACUUGUGGUUUUCCUUUCCCUUUUCCCUCUUCCCUUGUUCCUCCUGCCUUUCUCAUUUCCUGGGAUGCUAGCUUUAAAAUCUCUGGAAUGGCAUGGGGGUAGGAGCAGUGGAACUUCUGCUGUGCUCUACUCCUCAAAGUCCUGGAGGCUGCCUUUACCACUGCUUGUCUCCCACAAACCUGCCCCUAGAGCUGCUCGGCCCAGUGCAUGGGGUGGCUUCAGAAGCAUUAUCAGGAGCCCAUUACAAUCAGACCCUUCCGCUCCCUCCCCAGACCAGGCACCUGGUGGGCAGCUCAUGUUCCCCACCGCCCCACCACCUCCUCCUGCCAUCCUCUCUCCCCACUCCUUUCCUGCUGGCCCCCUUGCCCUUCUUGGUAUUACUUCUCAAGAUGACAAAAUGCCUCGUGGGGAUCUGCUUUCCUUGCUGAUUGGCAGGCCUGGACAGGGCAAUUACGUGGGAGUGUGCUUGAAUUUCUUUGGGGACCAACUGCCCAACUGGCUUCAUUGAUAGGAUAUCCCCAAGAAACCCAUCCCCUGCUUGUUCACCCACAUUCAGAGGAGAUGGGCUCCAUGGUGUGUGUGGGGUAGCAUGAGCCUCCCACAUUUACUGAGGGGUAAAAAAGUUUGGAGUCUUACCCACUUUUCCCCCGUCCUGUCACACCAAAGAUAUAGGAAUAUCCUUCCCUUUCCUGACGUGGAGCGUCCCAGACUGUUAGUAUAUCCCAGAGCAGCUAACUGGUGAUGGGGUGAGGGCUAAGCCCCCCAAAAGUCAAGACUGUUAGUAUAUCCCAGAGCAGCUAACUGGUGAUGGGGUGAGGGCUAAGCCCCCCAAAAGUCAACAUGGAAGAGCAGUGGUGGCCAUGGGGUUGGAGUUCAGGAGGGAAAAGAGCCCCAGAAGCUAGAGAGCCCCACGGCCUGAUGCUCCUGGCUGAGGGGAAGGGGCCAUCACUCAAGGCCUGUCCCAGAGUGGAGCUGCUAGGGGAAGGGAUGGUUGCCCUCUGCCUCAGGUGGAGCCCCCACAGCUUGCAGGGGUGGGGACAUGGCACUCUUGUAUCCUAACACCUUUCUCUGCAAUCUUCUCCCCACUCAGUUUGUGGAAAACGUUACAAGAACCGACCAGGCCUCAGUUACCACUAUGCCCACUCCCACUUGGCUGAGGAGGAGGGCGAGGACAAGGAAGACUCCCAACCACCCACUCCUGUCUCCCAGAGGUCUGAGGAGCAGAAAUCCAAAAAAGGUCCUGAUGGAUUGGCCUUGCCCAACAACUACUGUGACUUCUGCCUGGGGGACUCAAAGAUUAACAAGAAGACGGGACAACCCGAGGAGCUGGUGUCCUGUUCUGACUGUGGCCGCUCAGGGCAUCCAUCUUGCCUCCAGUUUACCCCUGUGAUGAUGGCGGCAGUGAAGACAUACCGCUGGCAGUGCAUCGAGUGCAAAUGUUGCAACAUCUGCGGCACCUCCGAGAACGACGACCAGCUGCUCUUCUGUGAUGACUGCGAUCGUGGCUACCACAUGUACUGUCUCACCCCGUCCAUGUCUGAGCCCCCUGAAGGAAGUUGGAGCUGCCACCUGUGUCUGGACCUGUUGAAAGAGAAAGCUUCCAUCUACCAGAACCAGAACUCCUCUUGAUGUGGCCAACCCCCUGCUCCCCGACAUAUCUAAGGCUGUUUCUCUCCUCCACUUCAUAUUUCAUACCCAUCUUUCCCUUCUUCCUCCUCUCCUUCACAAGUCCAGAGAACCUUGGGGUGGUUGUGCCAGCCUGCCUUUGGCAGCUGCAAGCUGAGGUGGCAGCUCUGACCACCUCUGGCCCCAGGCCCUCAGGGAGAAAGGAGCAACACACUGCCCCUAGGCGUACGUGUGGCCCAGUUUCUCUCUGCUCUCCAUUAAGUGCAUUCACUCUGCUUGCCUUGGGCCCAGGCCCUGGUGAUCACAGGGUUCAAACAGUGUCCUCCUAGAAAGAAUGGGAGAGCAGCUCACUUCUCUGUGUUCUGCCUCCACUCUGGUCUCCAGAGUUUUCCUGUCCUCUAGAGGCAAGCCAGGCCAGGGAGCUGGGAGCGAGCAAGCUGAGGCCACGUCCACAAGGAGCUUUUCAUGCCCCUGUGCCGCAUAGCCUCACCUCUCUCCUCCCGAGUGGCUCUCUGCGGCCCUGUGUUCCUGCUACAGAGGGUUCUUUUCUGGAGUCAGGAUGUUCUCGGUCACCCUCCUGGCUCUGCCCUGUCCCACUCCACCCCACCCCAGGGGGGAACAGUAGCUGCACCUUGCUAUCCCCACUGCUCUCCUGGUUCACUCUUACGGGCGGUCUCCGGUGACUGAAGCAUUCCCCACCCUUGGAAUUUCUCAUCUUCUGCCUCCCUUCUUACUCCUUUUGGUUUUGUGGGGAGAGGGGAAGGAUCAGGGGUCCAGGCCAGCAGCUCGGGGGCCACAGGGAGAUGGAUAAUGUGCCUGUUUUUUAACACGACAAAAAAGCCUACCUCCAAAAUCCCCUUUUUGUUCUUCCUGGACCUGGGCAUUCAGCCUCCUGCUCUUAACUGAAUUGGGAGCCUCUGCCACCUGCCCCGUGUAUCCUGGCUCUCAGCUCAUGGGGAAGCCACACAGACAUCCCUUUCUUCCCUUGCACGCUCGCUAGCAGCUGGUAAGGUCUUCACACCCUCAUUCCUCAAGUUUUCUGCUUAGUGGCACUGACAUUAAGUAGUGGGGGGACAGUCCAUGCCAGGACAUCCUGGAGUAGCCUUCCCCCUUGGCCACGGGCAGGCCCUAACUCACUGUCGCUUUGGAGUUGAGGUGUCCUUUUUUUUCUUUCUUUAGUUCCUGUAUUCUAAACAUUAGUAAAAAUAAAUGUUUUUACACAG